Hyla sarda is the source of this 2108-nucleotide long non-coding RNA. RefSeq lists it as uncharacterized. The transcript is spliced from 3 exons. Lineage: Eukaryota; Metazoa; Chordata; Amphibia; Anura; Hylidae. The record is from RefSeq and is a predicted model, not a curated record.
CCGUGGCAUCACAAUCACGGCCUCCGGCUUAGAGCGUUCUGAACAAAAUGUUCAGAAAGCUGGAGUACCCCUUUAAAGUCUGAAAAUAUCUUUUGGUUUGUGGAUAGCUUAUGUGUUGGGGCUAUAUAUCUCUGAUGAUCCUGUAAUUGGUAAGACAUACCUCACCAUGUGAAGGACACCCUGAUUGGGUCCAAGAAUGGUGCCCAUUAAGUCAUGGUGGUAAGAGAUUGGCUCAAUGACAAUGCCUCCUGGUCAUGUUGCAGUCGCGAACCCUCACAUAGGCUUGCAUUGAGGGGGCGUGGUUGUGACAAGCGGGGCGUGACCGUGACGUCACUAGCCCCGUAUCGCCAGUCAUCCAGCACAGAGCAAAAAGUUAACUUCGUGCACCGGAUGUCUGGGGUGCUGCAGCCGAGAUUGCGGGGGUCCUUUGGAUAGGGGAUAAGAUGUCUAGGGGCGUAGUACCCCUUUAACUGAGCUCCAAUAAUUGUGUAAUCUCUGGAUCGUUCACGUGGUCCUUCACAGGGCGACGGGCAGCUGAUAAUGAUUUUAUUGAGCGUGAAAAAAUUUGAUUAGCCAAUGAGCAUGCGAUCUCUCAUUUGGAGGCUGAUUGCAAGAUAUGAGGGUUCCUACGAAUGAUGACUGUAUAAAAGGGUCUUCACACCAUGAUAAUUCUCAUUUCCUCGAGUAUUCUUACCCCUUCAUCAUACGACUUCCUUAAACCCUACGGAUGGCUUUUGCACAUGUCACAUGAGAAAACUUUCCGUUUUGCAUGGCUUUUGUCAGAUAUUAGUAUAAGGAAGUUAUGGAGGACAUGUUUUAUUAGUACACUUCACCUGCCCAACUGCCAAAAAAAAGUGCAAACGUGUCAGACAAAAAAGUGCACGAGGAUGCGGGUCUAUCGCAAACCCUCAUCCGAAAGAAGAGGAGCCCCCCACAGACCUUGUCUUCCCCUCUGGCAAGGGCCCAGGAUCGGUGUCUUUAUCGGCGUGCACUAUAAGUUGACUACUAUCUUACACUGACUGCACCAACACAACCCCCACGAUCAUUACACUUGCUUCAAACCAUUUGGUUUUGUGAGUUGACGACACCCAAGUUGGUAGGAGCCCGUCUCCCCUCCCAGACCUCUGUCCUCUUCUCACCCCUCCCCGAUGAUGGGCCAGCCCCGCUCUACCUCCUGUCACUGUGACAAAAUUCUCUCAGUCCACUGCCUAGCAGACAUAGAUAGGGAUCGAAGGGGGAGUUAGGCCAGUCACGCAGACAGAGCUCCUAAAAGUACAGUCGUGUGGUGUUUCCCAUCUCUGUGCACUGACAACAUCCAGCAGCCAACAUGUCCGACGCUCCAGCCGAACAAUCAGCGGCGACCGUAGAGGAAGUCAACGCGGCGCCGGCAGAGAACCCCUGCACGGAACUCAAAGCUGCCAUGGAGAAAUGCGCAGCCGAAAAAGGUGAAGACAACUGCCAGGAUCUAAUUCAGGCCUAUAAAGAAUGUAUGAAAUCUCUGAAAGUGCAAAUCUAAUGUACAACAAGGUUGGGGUGUUGCGGAGAGGGUCUGUGUGUUCCGAGUCCUCCACUUCCCCAUCAUCCCGUUCCCUUUCCAUCCGACCAUUCUCUUGGGACGGACAGAUGGGAGAGCCGGCUCCAUGUGAUGACGCGCUGUGUAAUCCUGUCCGCUGGUCACCUGUGCACAUCUACCUUGUACAACUCCUCCUGUCAAUGGGCCAUACACGGACGAGGCCGCCCAAAUAUCUCGGAACCAUGACGACCACCAUGAAACUGUAUAUGUUUAGAAUUUAUCUUAUUUCCCAUGUCUGAUUGUUUGCAGAUGCCGCGUUCAUUAGGAAAAAUAAAAAAUAUUCAACAGGAAAGACGACCGUCACCAGGAGGUGGGGGGGGGGGUCGAUACUUUUUGGAACAUAUUAACAACCAAUUUCUGGGCUCUCCAUCUUGGGUCAGUGUUGACCAUCUAUACUUGUGCGUUUGAUUACGACGAGAAGGAACCUCAGGCGGAGCGGAUGAUUCUUCUGUCGCCCUGGAAUUAUUAUUAUUAUUUUUAUUUUUUAUUUUUUUUAAAUGUCUUCAAAUCGUAUCGACCAAUAAAAGGAUAAAUG